This 1465-nucleotide long non-coding RNA is filed under the name Gallus gallus (chicken). The record is from RNAcentral. Lineage: Eukaryota; Metazoa; Chordata; Aves; Galliformes; Phasianidae.
CUUUCAUUCGUAUUGAGGGUAAAGUUGAUGUCUGAGACCCGAUCAAAAGAAACAUUGCCGAUGUCAUCUUGAUCAGCAAACUUCUCAUCGUUGAAGCCAAAUUGCUGCAAAGAAGAAUCCUGGGAGAAGCCAGUUUCUUUGAAGUCAAUCUCAUCAUCGCUGGAAGAAUGAAUGUGGCAGGUAGUAACCAGAUCCACUGUAUUCCUUUUGUUAGUUUCUCCUAAAGAGCUUGUACAGAAUGUUUCCCACCGCUCUCUGACCUCCUCUGGAAGCUCUUUAAUAAGCUGUUGGACUAGCGUGCUGUUAGGGCCCUUAUCCGUACUGUGCACAAUACAGUUUGCUAUCCUUGUCAGAUGACCCAUAUAGCCAUGCCGUCUUCCUCCUUCCGCCUGUUUCUUCUCAUUCAUCUCCCAUGCUUCAAGUAUUCGUUCUAUUAGUUGGCACUUAAGGAAGAGAUGUUUCAAUAAAAGAUUGUCCCCAGUGGAAUCCUGAUCUGUAAUUGUGCCAUUUUCUGUGCUCUCAAGAGGACUUGCAAGAAUCAAUGCAAUACAGAUUUCUACUUGAGUAUGCAAAAAGUUAUUCCACGUAUAUUUAAAGAACAUGUCCAGUAUAACUCCUAUACUGUUUAGCUCUAUAAGCUCCUGAUUCACGCUGCUUGUAUUUGUCUGUAGAAGGCUAGAUAUUAAUCUGAUCACAUUUAAACGUGUGUUCCCCACAGGUGGAUCCAAUACACCCCACGUUGUCUUCAUGACACUUUUUUUUGGAGGCUCAAGUAGGAGUUCAUGGAAGGAUGAAAGUCGUGCUUUUAUGGCUUCUAAAACACUUUUAUUGACAGAAUACGUUGAAUUGCUCAUGCCUGGAGGACAGAUCUCUAUAUGGCCUUCAAAUGUCUGUCGUCUUGUCUCAAGUAAGGUCAGUAAUAUUUGGAUUGCACUGACUAUUGCAGAUUCAUUCUUUUCUUUAUGAAAAAUAUUGGACAGCAGCUGCUCUAUGAUUUCUCGUUUCUCUAGACUUGCCAGCAGGGGAUCUGGUUCUGAACUGUUCUGUACUUGUAACAUCUGAUCUCUGCUUAAACGAAUAAUUUCACAGAGUGACUGUGAUGCAUUUGAAUGUCUGUCUUCAUCUUGAGAUGGAUGUACAAUUUCUACAAGCCGUUGGAUAAUCCUCUCUUCAUUUAGCCAAUUCAACACUUCUUGCCUGGGCUGUGGAGGUUCUAUGCAAGUCAGUAGCCUGAGCAGCAAGUCCAUGAUAGCAGAGGUCCCUAUGUGCUUAAUAACGAGGUCUACAAAAUCGUGUUUCUUCUUUAAAAAAUCCACAAUCUGUUCUGGUUUUCUGCUUAUGAGAAUACUUAGCACCUUGCUGAAGAAACUGGCGAGUAAAGGGUUUAGAGGAGAUUCAUUUAAGAGGAAGCUGUACAGUUUCAUAAGUAAAGAUUCUUCUUCUCCCAGCCUAUCAUUGAUCUGUG